RNAcentral lists this ribosomal RNA (253 nucleotides) under uncultured bacterium. RNAcentral describes it as "partial 16S ribosomal RNA". It matches the Rfam family "Bacterial small subunit ribosomal RNA", at positions 524 to 776 of the family's 1533-position model. The record is from RNAcentral.
UACGUAGGGUGCGAGCGUUAAUCGGAAUUACUGGGCGUAAAGCGUGCGCAGGCGGCGCGUUAAGACAGGUGUGAAAGCCCCGAGCUUAACUUGGGAAUUGCGCUUGUGACUGGCGAGUUGGAGUGUGGCAGAGGGGGAUGGAAUUCCGCGUGUAGCAGUGAAAUGCGUAGAUAUGCGGAGGAACACCGAUGGCGAAGGCAAUCCCCUGGGCCUGCACUGACGCUCAUGCACGAAAGCGUGGGGAGCAAACGGG